AUCACAGGGGCAGGAGACACAGGAAAAGCAAAGACACCAGAAACAAGACACGGGAAAGGAAGUGAGCAACACAAGGAAAGGGACUUCAAAAUAAAACAGGAAACUCAAGAAAACACAAACACGGAAAAGAGAGAUAACUUGACCAAGAAAGGCUAAGCACGUAAAGCUGCACAAGAAAUGGAAAAAUAAAUAAAAGUCCACUAGAACUAAUAUUCCUGAGGGCAGAGUCAUUAUGAAAAUAUCUGACUUCUUGGCUGUGUAAUGUUCAACAAUGUUCGGCAACUAGUCACUAAUGUUGUGUAUGUGUACAGUGACAGGCAGAAACAGCACUGAUGAGAUCACUGAGAGACAAUAACCACAAAAGUUUCUGAUUGGAAAACAAAUGAGCUGAAAGUUUCUACAAAGGUUGUGGGAACCCACGUAGUUGGGUGUUAAUUAUCAGUGGCAAUAUAUAUGUAAUAUAUAUAAAUACAUAAAUAUAUCCUUUGCUUUAAGUGGCAGCUGGUGCAGAAAUAUGAAACUAUUUCCAUUGUCAAUUACACAGCAAAUUAUUUUCUAUUCAUCAUUUUGUCUAUAAAAUACCAGAAGGUAGUUUAAAAUUCUGAUUAUAAUUUCCCAAAGGCCAAAGUGGCAUUUUAGAAUAACUUGUUUUGUCCAACCAAGAGUCGAAAGCACAACAAUAAUCAGUUGACUGUCAUUAAAACAAAGAAUAGCAGCAAAUUGUCUCAUUCUAACAGCUGGAGCGACUGUUUCCCAUGAGAUUUGUGUUCUUCAAAUUUGCAUAUCAAUUAAAAUAUCAGAUUGUAUGGCACAAUUUCAAAAUAGAAUCUAACACUUAAAUGCAAUCCCUAGUUUAGGUUUUGGCAAAUCAAUCCACCAGUCCUCAGACUGGUGCAAGUCUGAUACAAGACAGAAAAAACAAGACAGCUGACAAGUGCAGUAAACUUGAGUUAUUAAUUUUUUUCUGUAAACACUCUUUGCUCUGUUAGAUGCUAAGGAUUGCUGUUGUUUGCAAUUUCUCUGGUCGUAUAUUGUAAAGCUUUAAAUAUUGUCUUUGAAUUUCUUACGUAGAGAGUCAGGAGUUGUGUAAACCUAAAUUAUCUCCAGACAAGUAUGCAUAAAUCAAAGGUUAAUUGAGCUAGGACUGUGCAAUGUGUUUGUGUUGCUGCUGUAAGCGUUGGUAUCACUAUGCGUUUAUCUCUAUGCUUAUGCAUAAUUGCUGUGUAUGUAUUUGGUGCAAGACUAGAUAGACUGAUGGUGAGCAUGCUAUAAUUAGCCACAAGUUCUCUUGACAGUCAGUAAAGGAGUGUUUCUCCAAAUGUAUGCAGAUGGAGACGUGUGCUAUAUGUGUUUGUCUGAUAAAGACCAACUGAAAUAUCACUGAAAUAUGAUCGUAUGAAACCACAUAGCGAACUAAGCGUACAUCAAACCCACUGUGACGAAGCAAUUAAGAAAAACAAUGAUAAGCGAUCAUGAAAAUCCACUUGGUUUUGUCUGGAGCCUUUGAUGUUGCCAAACUUCAGCCUCAGUGUAAAAUCAGGCUACGGCACCACAAAUGAGCCUUGAUAUUCUCUCAAAGUACAUGCAGAUCCACAGACACACACACACACACACACGUAUACACACUCAAACAGAGAGCAAACACACCAGUGUGUGUCAGUCUCCUGGAAUGGUAGUCAUCUGCAUCAAUGUGAGGCAAAGCGAAGAGAGUCAGAGGGAAUGAGAGUUUGUGCAUCAAAGCCAGCUUGGUUGAUAGUGAUCAUAGCUCAUGGCAGCAUGGAAAUGUGUAACGUGACACAUCACUCGCAGCAGAGUUUCAUGACAUUGUUCUCUGUGUGUGUGUGUGUGUGUGUGUGUGUGUGUGUGUGUGUGUGUGUGUGAGGUUUCAAGGUUAGGUUAAGGUUAGGCAAGUGGGAGAUAUGGUUGGGUUAGAGUUAGUCUCGAGGAAAUGAAUUGUCCACAUUGAAAUCCGAUCAAGAUCUGAUCGCUCUGUCCAGCCCACGUCACCAUUAACAAACAACAAAGAAAAUAUAGAAGAUCAGAAGAAGAUGGUAUCCAUCCACGCAGCUGCAUAAUAGUGACUUUAUGUCAGAUUUUUCAUCCAUACAUCCAGCGGCGAAGACCACCAGGCAUCAAUGGAUUCUGGAGCUUCCUGGAGCCACCAAAGGUAUACAGUUUUGCCAAACAUGUGCAAGAAAUGGAAAACUGGGCUUUGAAUUUUGUAUCCAACUGCCAUGGGACUGCACAAAGAGAUAGUGAGAGAUAGUAAACAGAGUUUCUUUUGAAAAGAACAUGUUCUAUUUCUACUCAAUUCCUCUAAAUGAUCACUAGUUUACUUUAUGAAAACUGUUACCACUCAAUACCACUUUUGUUCUCCAAAAAUGACAACGACACAUACAUAGAAUCAUAUUUAUUAAUCUCUGAGAUGUGUAAAUGUUUACCUGUGACCCAGAGUACAUUCAAAUUCACAUUUGAUCAUUUCACUUUAAAUGAAACUAACACAACUGGAAAUAAACAAAUGUCUCUUUUCAA
Long non-coding RNA from Scophthalmus maximus (turbot), 2532 nucleotides. RefSeq lists it as uncharacterized. The transcript is spliced from 3 exons. NCBI's taxonomy places the organism in Eukaryota, Metazoa, Chordata, Actinopteri, Pleuronectiformes, Scophthalmidae. The record is from RefSeq and is a predicted model, not a curated record.